GGGGCCGGGGAGCCCGCUUCGCCCCGUGAGGGGUGAGGAAACACCGUCCACCGGGCGACACCGCGGCUCCGCAAGGAGCACGGGUAGAACCCGUGGCUACGGCACAGAAACGACACGGCCACCGCUCUCAUGGCGAUGGGGCCGCGUGAGGCCCCCGGCGACGGGGGUCUGGUAACCGGCCGAGGACGGCGGUGGAUGCGUUGAAACGGCCGUCCCGCGGGGUGUAAGGCCUGGGGCCGGUGUGACCUGUCGCCGGACCGGUACAGGCCGCUUAGUCCAAUGCGGGCGAGAGACAGAAGACGGGUUAAUCCCCGGCCCC
RNAcentral lists this RNase P RNA (319 nucleotides) under Thermogladius calderae 1633. RNAcentral's name for it is "Thermogladius cellulolyticus 1633 Archaeal RNase P". It matches the Rfam family "Archaeal RNase P". From Rfam's summary of the family: Ribonuclease P (RNase P) is a ubiquitous endoribonuclease, found in archaea, bacteria and eukarya as well as chloroplasts and mitochondria. Its best characterised activity is the generation of mature 5'-ends of tRNAs by cleaving the 5'-leader elements of precursor-tRNAs. The record is from Rfam by way of RNAcentral. Lineage: Archaea; Thermoproteati; Thermoproteota; Thermoprotei; Desulfurococcales; Desulfurococcaceae.